Molecule: long non-coding RNA, 245 nt
Filed under: Mytilus galloprovincialis (Mediterranean mussel)
Lineage: Eukaryota; Metazoa; Mollusca; Bivalvia; Mytilida; Mytilidae
Source: RNAcentral
GCUAUGUAUAUUUUGUACUUAUUAAAACAAUCUUCGUUUUGUGUUCGACGUUUUUAAUACUUACAAGUUUGAAACUGGCAUGCAAUACACAUCGAAAUGUUGUAACUUUUUAGUGUUAUCGACCUAGGGGGUAGGCAUUUUUUUAUGUUUUUUUGCCCCUGGGCAUUCAAAUGGAAGCCAUUGUAGGGAUGACACUCUGCCAAUUUUGCUCUUGAAAACCGACAAAUAUAUCCACAUAGCACCAG